Molecule: ribosomal RNA, 119 nt
Organism: Lepisosteus oculatus (spotted gar)
Lineage: Eukaryota; Metazoa; Chordata; Actinopteri; Semionotiformes; Lepisosteidae
Source: Ensembl
AAAAGCAGCCAUAUCACCCUGCAACUCACAACUGGCAACCCACUGGAGCUCAGCAGGUGUGAGCCUGGUCAGUACCUGGAUGGGAGACCUCCUGGGAAAAACUAAGGUUGCUGCUGGAA